UGGCAUCCUACUACGAGAUCCUAGACGUGC
RNAcentral lists this non-coding RNA (30 nucleotides) under Macaca fascicularis (crab-eating macaque). Lineage: Eukaryota; Metazoa; Chordata; Mammalia; Primates; Cercopithecidae. The record is from RNAcentral. RNAcentral also lists the same sequence under 1 other name.